Molecule: unclassified non-coding RNA, 26 nt
Filed under: Mus musculus (house mouse)
Lineage: Eukaryota; Metazoa; Chordata; Mammalia; Rodentia; Muridae
Description: oocyte_clustered_small_RNA13650
Source: RNAcentral
UCCUCACCUGCUGCUUUGUGUGAUGA